Molecule: ribosomal RNA, 381 nt
Filed under: Dugesiidae environmental sample
Lineage: Eukaryota; Metazoa; Platyhelminthes; Tricladida; Dugesiidae
Description: SSU rRNA
Rfam family: Eukaryotic small subunit ribosomal RNA
Source: RNAcentral
GUAUCAAUUGGAGGGCAAGUCUGGUGCCAGCAGCCGCGGUAAUUCCAGCUCCAAAAGCGUAUAUUAAAGUUGUUGCAGUUAAAAAGCUCGUAGUUGAAAUUGGGGAAACUAUUUAGUAAGAAGUCUAUGAUGGAUUAUUAAAUGUUCCUUCGUCGUCGUGUAUAUUGUCAAGUCACUUAAUUGGGAUUUUUCAAUAACCGACAAGUUUACUUUGAAAAAAUUAGAGUGCUUAAAGCAGGCUUAUGCUUGUAUAUUGUUGCAUGGAAUAAUGAAAUAAGACUUUGGUUUUAUUUUGUUGGUUUUCGAAACUAAAGUAAUGAUUAAAAGAGACUGCCGGGGGCAUAUGUAUGCUGGUGCUAGAGGUGAAAUUCUGAGACCAUC